GGUUAAGCGACUAAGCGUACACGGUGGAUGCCCUGGCAGUCAGAGGCGAUGAAGGACGUGCUAAUCUGCGAUAAGCGUCGGUAAGGUGAUAUGAACCGUUAUAACCGGCGAUUUCCGAAUGGGGAAACCCAGUGUGAUUCGUCACACUAUCAUUAACUAAAUCCAUAGGUUAAUGAGGCGAACCGGGGGAACUGAAACAUCUAAGUACCCCGAGGAAAAGAAAUCAACCGAGAUUCCCCCAGUAGCGGCGAGCGAACGGGGAGCAGCCCAGAGCCUGAAUCAGUGUGUGUGUUAGUGGAAGCGUCUGGAAAGGCGCGCGAUACAGGGUGACAGCCCCGUACACAAAAAUGCACAUGCUGUGAGCUCGAUGAGUAGGGCGGGACACGUGGUAUCCUGUCUGAAUAUGGGGGGACCAUCCUCCAAGGCUAAAUACUCCUGACUGACCGAUAGUGAACCAGUACCGUGAGGGAAAGGCGAAAAGAACCCCGGCGAGGGGAGUGAAAAAGAACCUGAAACCGUGUACGUACAAGCAGUGGGAGCACGCUUAGGCGUGUGACUGCGUACCUUUUGUAUAAUGGGUCAGCGACUUAUAUUCUGUAGCAAGGUUAACCGAAUAGGGGAGCCGAAGGGAAACCGAGUCUUAACUGGGCGUUAAGUUGCAGGGUAUAGACCCGAAACCCGGUGAUCUAGCCAUGGGCAGGUUGAAGGUUGGGUAACACUAACUGGAGGACCGAACCGACUAAUGUUGAAAAAUUAGCGGAUGACUUGUGGCUGGGGGUGAAAGGCCAAUCAAACCGGGAGAUAGCUGGUUCUCCCCGAAAGCUAUUUAGGUAGCGCCUCGUGAAUUCAUCUCCGGGGGUAGAGCACUGUUUCGGCAAGGGGGUCAUCCCGACUUACCAACCCGAUGCAAACUGCGAAUACCGGAGAAUGUUAUCACGGGAGACACACGGCGGGUGCUAACGUCCGUCGUGAAGAGGGAAACAACCCAGACCGCCAGCUAAGGUCCCAAAGUCAUGGUUAAGUGGGAAACGAUGUGGGAAGGCCCAGACAGCCAGGAUGUUGGCUUAGAAGCAGCCAUCAUUUAAAGAAAGCGUAAUAGCUCACUGGUCGAGUCGGCCUGCGCGGAAGAUGUAACGGGGCUAAACCAUGCACCGAAGCUGCGGCAGCGACGCUUAUGCGUUGUUGGGUAGGGGAGCGUUCUGUAAGCCUGUGAAGGUGUACUGUGAGGUAUGCUGGAGGUAUCAGAAGUGCGAAUGCUGACAUAAGUAACGAUAAAGCGGGUGAAAAGCCCGCUCGCCGGAAGACCAAGGGUUCCUGUCCAACGUUAAUCGGGGCAGGGUGAGUCGACCCCUAAGGCGAGGCCGAAAGGCGUAGUCGAUGGGAAACAGGUUAAUAUUCCUGUACUUGGUGUUACUGCGAAGGGGGGACGGAGAAGGCUAUGUUGGCCGGGCGACGGUUGUCCCGGUUUAAGCGUGUAGGCUGGUUUUCCAGGCAAAUCCGGAAAAUCAAGGCUGAGGCGUGAUGACGAGGCACUACGGUGCUGAAGCAACAAAUGCCCUGCUUCCAGGAAAAGCCUCUAAGCAUCAGGUAACAUCAAAUCGUACCCCAAACCGACACAGGUGGUCAGGUAGAGAAUACCAAGGCGCUUGAGAGAACUCGGGUGAAGGAACUAGGCAAAAUGGUGCCGUAACUUCGGGAGAAGGCACGCUGAUAUGUAGGUGAAGUCCCUCGCGGAUGGAGCUGAAAUCAGUCGAAGAUACCAGCUGGCUGCAACUGUUUAUUAAAAACACAGCACUGUGCAAACACGAAAGUGGACGUAUACGGUGUGACGCCUGCCCGGUGCCGGAAGGUUAAUUGAUGGGGUCAGCGCAAGCGAAGCUCUUGAUCGAAGCCCCGGUAAACGGCGGCCGUAACUAUAACGGUCCUAAGGUAGCGAAAUUCCUUGUCGGGUAAGUUCCGACCUGCACGAAUGGCGUAAUGAUGGCCAGGCUGUCUCCACCCGAGACUCAGUGAAAUUGAACUCGCUGUGAAGAUGCAGUGUACCCGCGGCAAGACGGAAAGACCCCGUGAACCUUUACUAUAGCUUGACACUGAACAUUGAGCCUUGAUGUGUAGGAUAGGUGGGAGGCUUUGAAGUGUGGACGCCAGUCUGCAUGGAGCCGACCUUGAAAUACCACCCUUUAAUGUUUGAUGUUCUAACGUGGACCCGUAAUCCGGGUUGCGGACAGUGUCUGGUGGGUAGUUUGACUGGGGCGGUCUCCUCCUAAAGAGUAACGGAGGAGCACGAAGGUUGGCUAAUCCUGGUCGGACAUCAGGAGGUUAGUGCAAUGGCAUAAGCCAGCUUGACUGCGAGCGUGACGGCGCGAGCAGGUGCGAAAGCAGGUCAUAGUGAUCCGGUGGUUCUGAAUGGAAGGGCCAUCGCUCAACGGAUAAAAGGUACUCCGGGGAUAACAGGCUGAUACCGCCCAAGAGUUCAUAUCGACGGCGGUGUUUGGCACCUCGAUGUCGGCUCAUCACAUCCUGGGGCUGAAGUAGGUCCCAAGGGUAUGGCUGUUCGCCAUUUAAAGUGGUACGCGAGCUGGGUUUAGAACGUCGUGAGACAGUUCGGUCCCUAUCUGCCGUGGGCGCUGGAGAACUGAGGGGGGCUGCUCCUAGUACGAGAGGACCGGAGUGGACGCAUCACUGGUGUUCGGGUUGUCAUGCCAAUGGCACUGCCCGGUAGCUAAAUGCGGAAGAGAUAAGUGCUGAAAGCAUCUAAGCACGAAACUUGCCCCGAGAUGAGUUCUCCCUGACUCCUUGAGAGUCCUGAAGGAACGUUGAAGACGACGACGUUGAUAGGCCGGGUGUGUAAGCGCAGCGAUGCGUUGAGCUAACCGGUACUAAUGAACCGUGAGGCUUAACCUU
This 2904-nucleotide ribosomal RNA is filed under the name Escherichia coli. RNAcentral describes it as "23S ribosomal RNA". It matches the Rfam family "Bacterial large subunit ribosomal RNA". The record is from RNAcentral. Lineage: Bacteria; Pseudomonadati; Pseudomonadota; Gammaproteobacteria; Enterobacterales; Enterobacteriaceae.